RNAcentral lists this ribosomal RNA (893 nucleotides) under uncultured bacterium. RNAcentral describes it as "bacterial SSU rRNA". It matches the Rfam family "Bacterial small subunit ribosomal RNA", at positions 21 to 906 of the family's 1533-position model. The record is from RNAcentral.
GGCUCAGAUUGAACGUUGGCGGCAGGCCUAAAACAUGCAAGUCGAACGGUAACAGCGGAAGCUUGCUUCCGGCUGACGAGUGGCGGACGGGUGAGUAACACGUAGGAAUCUACCUAGUAGUGGGGGACAACCCGGGGAAACCCGGGCUAAUACCGCAUACGCUCUACGGAGGAAAGCAGGGGAUCUUCGGACCUUGCGCUAUUGGAGGAGCCUGCGUCGGAUUAGCUAGUUGGUGGGGUAAAGGCCUACCAAGGCGACGAUCCGUAGCUGGUCUGAGAGGACGAUCAGCCACACUGGAACUGAGACACGGUCCAGACUCCUACGGGAGGCAGCAGUUAGGAAUCUUGGGCAAUGGGCGCAAGCCUGACCCAGCCAUGCCGCGUGUGUGAAGAAGGCCUUCGGGUUGUAAAGCACUUUCAGCGGUGAAGAAAAGCUCGGGGCUAAUACCUCCGAGUCUUGACGUUAACCACAGAAGAGGCACCGGCUAACUCCGUGCCAGCAGCCGCGGUAAUACGGAGGGUGCGAACGUUAAUCGGAAUCACUGGGCGUAAAGCGCGCGUAGGCGGUUUGUUAAGUGGGAUGUGAAAUCCCCGGGCUUAACCUGGGAAUUGCAUUUCAAACUGGCCGACUAGAGUACGGUAGAGGGAGGUAGAAUUUCCUGUGUAGCGGUGAAAUGCGUAGAUAUAGGAAGGAAUACCAGAGGCGAAGGCGGCCUCCUGGAUCGAUACUGACGCUGAGGCGCGAAAGCGUGGGGAGCAAACAGGAUUAGAUACCCUGGUAGUCCACGCCGUAAACGAUGAGAACUAGCCGUUGGAUCCCUUGAGGGUUUAGUGGCGUAGCUAACGCGAUAAGUUCUCCGCCUGGGGAGUACGGCCGCAGGCUAAAACUCAAAU